UACGUAGGUGGCAAGCGUUGUCCGGAUUUAUUGGGUUUAAAGGGUGCGUAGGCGGUCCUUUAAGUCAGUGCUGAAAUACUCUAGCUUAACUAGAGGGGUGGCAUUGAUACUGGAGGACUUGAAUGAGGUCGAGGUAGGCGGAAUUGACGGUGUAGCGGUGAAAUGCUUAGAUAUCGUCAAGAACACCGAUAGUGAAGACAUCUUACUAGGCUUAGAUUGACGCUGAGGCACGAAAGUGUGGGGAUCAAACAGG
Molecule: ribosomal RNA, 253 nt
Filed under: uncultured bacterium
Lineage: Bacteria
Description: partial 16S ribosomal RNA
Rfam family: Bacterial small subunit ribosomal RNA
Source: RNAcentral